Molecule: microRNA precursor, 202 nt
Filed under: Oryza glumipatula
Lineage: Eukaryota; Viridiplantae; Streptophyta; Magnoliopsida; Poales; Poaceae
Description: MIR812 microRNA precursor family
Rfam family: MIR812 microRNA precursor family
Source: Rfam by way of RNAcentral
UAUAAGGGAUUUUAAGUUUUUGCUUGCAACGUUUGACCACUUGUCUUAUUCAAAAUUUUUUAAAUUAUUAUUUAUUGUAUUUGUGACUUACUUUAUUAUCUACAAUAUUUUGAGCACAACUUUUCGUUUUUUAUAUUUGCAAAAAAAAAUUGAAUAAGACGAGUGGUCAAACGUUGUAAGGAAAAACUCAAAAUCCCUUAUA